GCCCCCGUAGCCCAACUGGCAGAGGCAACCGACUUAAAAUCGGUCCAGUGCGGGUUCGAAACCCGCCGGGGGCACCU
RNAcentral lists this transfer RNA (77 nucleotides) under Actinobacteria bacterium HGW-Actinobacteria-4. Its description in RNAcentral is "tRNA-Leu". It matches the Rfam family "tRNA". From Rfam's summary of the family: Transfer RNA (tRNA) molecules are approximately 80 nucleotides in length. Their secondary structure includes four short double-helical elements and three loops (D, anti-codon, and T loops). Lineage: Bacteria; Bacillati; Actinomycetota. The record is from RNAcentral.